Molecule: ribosomal RNA, 1705 nt
Filed under: Escherichia coli
Lineage: Bacteria; Pseudomonadati; Pseudomonadota; Gammaproteobacteria; Enterobacterales; Enterobacteriaceae
Description: partial 23S ribosomal RNA
Rfam family: Bacterial large subunit ribosomal RNA
Source: RNAcentral
GAAGGUGUGCUGUGAGGCAUGCUGGAGGUAUCAGAAGUGCGAAUGCUGACAUAAGUAACGAUAAAGCGGGUGAAAAGCCCGCUCGCCGGAAGACCAAGGGUUCCUGUCCAACGUUAAUCGGGGCAGGGUGAGUCGACCCCUAAGGCGAGGCCGAAAGGCGUAGUCGAUGGGAAACAGGUUAAUAUUCCUGUACUUGGUGUUACUGCGAAGGGGGGACGGAGAAGGCUAUGUUGGCCGGGCGACGGUUGUCCCGGUUUAAGCGUGUAGGCUGGUUUUCCAGGCAAAUCCGGAAAAUCAAGGCUGAGGCGUGAUGACGAGGCACUACGGUGCUGAAGCAACAAAUGCCCUGCUUCCAGGAAAAGCCUCUAAGCAUCAGGUAACAUCAAAUCGUACCCCAAACCGACACAGGUGGUCAGGUAGAGAAUACCAAGGCGCUUGAGAGAACUCGGGUGAAGGAACUAGGCAAAAUGGUGCCGUAACUUCGGGAGAAGGCACGCUGAUAUGUAGGUGAAGCGACUUGCUCGUGGAGCUGAAAUCAGUCGAAGAUACCAGCUGGCUGCAACUGUUUAUUAAAAACACAGCACUGUGCAAACACGAAAGUGGACGUAUACGGUGUGACGCCUGCCCGGUGCCGGAAGGUUAAUUGAUGGGGUCAGCGCAAGCGAAGCUCUUGAUCGAAGCCCCGGUAAACGGCGGCCGUAACUAUAACGGUCCUAAGGUAGCGAAAUUCCUUGUCGGGUAAGUUCCGACCUGCACGAAUGGCGUAAUGAUGGCCAGGCUGUCUCCACCCGAGACUCAGUGAAAUUGAACUCGCUGUGAAGAUGCAGUGUACCCGCGGCAAGACGGAAAGACCCCGUGAACCUUUACUAUAGCUUGACACUGAACAUUGAGCCUUGAUGUGUAGGAUAGGUGGGAGGCUUUGAAGUGUGGACGCCAGUCUGCAUGGAGCCGACCUUGAAAUACCACCCUUUAAUGUUUGAUGUUCUAACGUUGACCCGUAAUCCGGGUUGCGGACAGUGUCUGGUGGGUAGUUUGACUGGGGCGGUCUCCUCCUAAAGAGUAACGGAGGAGCACGAAGGUUGGCUAAUCCUGGUCGGACAUCAGGAGGUUAGUGCAAUGGCAUAAGCCAGCUUGACUGCGAGCGUGACGGCGCGAGCAGGUGCGAAAGCAGGUCAUAGUGAUCCGGUGGUUCUGAAUGGAAGGGCCAUCGCUCAACGGAUAAAAGGUACUCCGGGGAUAACAGGCUGAUACCGCCCAAGAGUUCAUAUCGACGGCGGUGUUUGGCACCUCGAUGUCGGCUCAUCACAUCCUGGGGCUGAAGUAGGUCCCAAGGGUAUGGCUGUUCGCCAUUUAAAGUGGUACGCGAGCUGGGUUUAGAACGUCGUGAGACAGUUCGGUCCCUAUCUGCCGUGGGCGCUGGAGAACUGAGGGGGGCUGCUCCUAGUACGAGAGGACCGGAGUGGACGCAUCACUGGUGUUCGGGUUGUCAUGCCAAUGGCACUGCCCGGUAGCUAAAUGCGGAAGAGAUAAGUGCUGAAAGCAUCUAAGCACGAAACUUGCCCCGAGAUGAGUUCUCCCUGACUCCUUGAGAGUCCUGAAGGAACGUUGAAGACGACGACGUUGAUAGGCCGGGUGUGUAAGCGCAGCGAUGCGUUGAGCUAACCGGUACUAAUGAACCGUGAGGCUUAACCUUACAACGCCGAAG